GUUUUCAACAUCUUAUUAAUGCCAAAGAUUUACAAUAGAUUCUUUAUUUCAUUUCAAAGUGUUUGCAAUUUACAAAAUUUAAAUCAAUGUAAGUCGAUCCAGCUGAAAUAUAAAAUGUGAUAAGAAGGCUACCAAACUCAACAUCUCCUCAGCUAGGAAGUAGAUCGAUGAAGGACAUUCUUCCCUCUCAAGAUUUUUUAUUUAUUUCUAAAUCAUCCAUUUGUUUGUGUGUGCAUCAGUGUAUCUUAACGAAAAUAUUGGAGUGAUUGAAAUUUUAAAAUUUUAAUAUAUAUAAAUAGAAGUAUAGUAUUGUAUUUAA
Cicer arietinum (chickpea) is the source of this 319-nucleotide non-coding RNA. The record is from RefSeq and is a predicted model, not a curated record. Lineage: Eukaryota; Viridiplantae; Streptophyta; Magnoliopsida; Fabales; Fabaceae.